CUGGCCAGAAACUAGCCAAACAUCUGGCGAUCAUGCAAGAGGUAAAUAUGUGUAUACACCAAGCAGCAACCUCUGGGGCUGAAGGAUGAAGCCAACUCGGAAGUGCAAGAAACUGCAGUUCCUCGGGUGGCCACUAGAGGCAGGCUCCAAUAGAGAGUCAGUCCCCAUAGACCUUCAUGUUAAAAUGGCCAACUUUACAGCAGAAAUAAACAUGUUUAUCGCCUGGUACAAAAAACUGUUUUGGUCUCUGGAUUUUUUUAAGAACUCAUAAUAUAAGCCUUAUAAUAAGGCUUAAGAGUGACAGGUGGAGGAUGCCGGUGCCGUCAACGCCAACUGUCUGCUAGCCGCCCAUCACCUCAGCUAGUCACCUAACUUGACCUCUCGACCGUGUUUGUGCCUUUUGGAGAUUUUUUCAUGAAUAUAUCUGAAGAAUAAAAUGGCUUGCUGUGCGGUUAAUUGUACCGUCAGACCGGCCAAGAAGUCUGUGGUCCAGUUUUUUCAACCACAAGUGAUGUCACCCUUAAAGGCCAGCAGGAACUUUGCAUCCAGGAUGAUGGGCCUCUCAUUCGGGGGUAUAUGGACAAAGGAGAUGACAUCUUGAGAGACCUGCAGAAAGCCACCAUGGACAUACCUGUCAGCAACGAGGGUGGAGAAACUGGAAAAUGUGAGUCCUAUUUAUGUUGAAUGAUUUAUGAAUCAUUCUGGACAACACUGGAUCCGUGCAAUGAUGCUGGGAGUCAUUUGUGCACUGAACAUGGCUUACCCCAAAGAGCUGAGGUACUACUAUGAAUUCAUUCAGAAAGGGCUCUUGCAAAUGGGGGGGUGAAAGGCUUUCCCCAAAACUCCUUUGAGUAAAGAACAGAAAUCGGUGCUGGACUGUAGGGUUUCUUCAGCAGCUCUUGCGAACCCCUUUUAAGCUGCAUCGUUUGUGUUUGGGGGUGAUCGAGCAUUUACUACAGUGGGGGAAAAAAGUA
Siniperca chuatsi (mandarin fish) is the source of this 974-nucleotide long non-coding RNA. RefSeq lists it as uncharacterized. The transcript has 3 exons. The record is from RefSeq and is a predicted model, not a curated record. NCBI's taxonomy places the organism in Eukaryota, Metazoa, Chordata, Actinopteri, Centrarchiformes, Sinipercidae.